GCAGACAUAGGAUGACAAGCCACCUGCCAGUGCUGGAGACCACUGCUGUGCAUGCUGCCGCCUUCUUGUUCAUGUACCUCCCCCUCCCUCAUCCUUCAUGUUUACUUCUUUCACCGAAAUGAAAAUUGGUUGACUACAGAGCAGACACUUCCUAAACCUCUCAAGAAAUCCUGAAGCAAGCCAUGCCUCUUGAAUGAAACAUAGACAGCUGAUUCCUGGCCUGGUGCUGCCUUCUGUCUGCGAUGGAGUUCCUGUGCUGUUUAGACGAUUGCUUGCCUCUCAGAUGUCACAGUUGGUGAUAUGUAUGUUUACUGAGCAAUUGCUGUAGCCCCACAUUGCCCUUGACUGGAGAUACUGAAUAUACCAGCAAGCAGCACGAGACGUAUACAUUAUUGAAUCCUCAUCUUUGGCGCAUGGAGGGCUGGCUCUUCAACCCUACUGGUUUAGCCCAUGUAACAAAUGACUGAGGUGGAACCCACAGUGAAAAUACAAUGAUCACUCAGUCUAUUUAGUGCAAUGACUGAAGCAGGCUGAGGGAAACUGCUCAGGUCGUUCUGGUGUGGCCCUGCUGCCUUCUGAGGGAGUGGUGAAUUGGCAAUUACUCUGAUAAAUGUGGCUGCUGGAGACCCAUCUCUGUACAUUCAACAAACAUUAAUCAAGAGUCUACAAUGGGCCAGUCCCUACCAAAACCUGAGCCCUUGAGACAGAAAGCUAACAUAACUGUCUUCUGAGAGGCUCCAUCCAGCAGUCAGUGAAAACAGAUACAGAGACCGACACUCAAACAUUAGAUGGAGCUCAAGGAGUCUUAAGGAAGAGUUUGAGGAAGGAUUGAGGGACUUGAAGAGGACACAGACCUCAAAGGAAAACCAACAGAGUCAGCUAACCUGGACACUUGGGGACUCCCAGAGACUGAAUCACAAAACAAAAGUGAGCAUGGGCUGGGCUAGGCUCCUGCACAUAUGAAGCAGAUGAGCAGCUUAGUCUUCAUGCAGGUCCACCAACAACUAAAGUGGGGGCUGUCCCUGAGCCUGUUGUGUGCCUGUGGACUCCAUACCACUAAAUGGGUAGCCUUGUUUGGCUCAGUGAGAGAGGAUGUGACUAGUCCAGCAGCUAUUUGAUGUGCAGGGGGUGGGGGUAGGGGUCGUGAGGGGUUAGGUGUUUGACACCCAGAGGGGGUUUCACAUUCUCUUUUGAAAAGGGGAAGGUGGAAUAGGAGGAGGGCUUUCCUGAGGAGUACUGGGAGGAGAGGAAGGGCUGAUAUUGUGUUGUAAAGUGAAUAAAUAAGUAAAUUAAAAACAAAUAAAACUAACAAAAUUGAGAUCUGUGAUCUAUUUGGAUCUAAGUUUUGUACAGAGUGAUAGAGAUUGGUAUUAUUUUAUUCUUCUGUAUGUGGACAUACAGGUUUUCCAGUGCCAUUUGUUAAAGAUGCUAUCUCUUCUCUCGAGAGGUUUUUCCUCAUUGUCAAAUAUCAGAUGGCUAUAGUUAUGAGAACUCACAUGUGGGUCUUCUAUUAUUCCAUUGUUCUACAUGUAUGGUUUACGCUAGUACCAUAUUGUUUUAUUACUAUGGCAUCUCUAGAACUCUGGGCUAGCAAUUCCGCUAAAAUUAUUCUUUUGGUUCAGGAAUGGCUUGCCUCUCUGGGAUCCUUUCUCAUUUCAUAUGAAUUUUAUUCUGUCAAGAAUGUGGAUAUUUUAAUUAGUGUUUCAUUGAAUCUGUACAUUUCUUUUAGCUUGUAAAAGAAGCUUGUACUUGUAGCUUGGCUAUUUUCACAACUAAUUCUACUGACCCAUGAACACAGAAUGGCUUUGUAUUUUCUAGUUUAUUUCUCAAUCCCUUUCUUCAAAGAUUUGUAAUUUGCAUUGUAGAGGUUUUUCACCUCCUCAGUUAGUUUUAUUCCAAGAUAUUUUAUUGUCAUUGAUGCUAUUGAAAAUAAAAGUGCAUCUUCAAUGUGUUUGUUAUUGAUAUAUAGAAAGGCUGCUGAUUCUUACAAGAUAGAAAGAUAGAUAGAUAGAUAGAUAGAUAGAUAGAUAGAUAGAUAGAUAGAUAGAUAGAUUUUUUUUUUCAAGACAGGGUUUCUCUAUGUAGCCAUGGCUGUCCUGGAACUCACUCUGUAGACCAGGCUGGCCUUGAACUCAGAAAUCUGCCUGCCUUGCCUCCCAAGUGCUGGGAUAAAAGGUAUGUGCCACUACUGCCUGGCAUUAUGUAAGUAUUAUUACAAGUACUCUGCAAUUUUGCUGAAAUUGUUGUUUCUAGAAGUUUUAUUCUUUUUUAAAAAUUAGGUAUCUUCCUCAUUUGCAUUUCCAAUGCUAUCCCAAAAGUCCCCUAUACCCUACCCCCCACCCCCCUACCCACCCACUUCCACUUUUUGGCCCUGGCAUUCCCCUGUACUGGAGCAUAUAAAGUUUGCAAGUCCAAUGGGCCUCUCUUUCCAGUGAUGGCCGACUAGGCCAUCUUUUGAUACAUAUGCAGCUAGAGUCAAGAGCUCCCGGGUACUGGUUAGUUCAUAAUGUUGUUCCACCUAUAGGGUUGUAGAUCCCUUUAGCUCCUUGGGUAUUUUCUCUAGCUUCUCCAUUGGGGGCCCUGUGAUCCAUCGAAUAGCUGACUGUGAGCAUCCACUUAUGUGUUUGCUAGGCCCGGCCUAGUCUCACUAGAGACAGCUAUAUCAGGGUCCUAUCAGCACAAUCUUGCUAGUGUAUGCAAUGGUGUCAGCGUUUGGAUGCUGAUUAUGGGAUGGAUCCCUGGAUAUGGCAGUCUCUAGAUGGUCCAUCCUUUUGUCUCAGCUCCAAACUUUGUCUCUGUAACUCCUUCCGUGGGUGUUUUGUUCCCAAUUCUAAGAAGGGGCAAAGUGUCCACACUUUGGUCUUCGUUCUUCUUGAGUUUCAUGUGUUUUGCAAAUUGUAGCUUAUAUUUAUUCUUAAGGACUAUAUAUAAGAAUUUAGGUGGGGGUGUGGUAAGAAAGUAGCUUAGUGAGAGAUCUCUACUCUUUUGAGGUUCAAGUUCAAAAACCAAAAAGGAAAAACAAAUCCCUUUGAUUUUCAUCUUUAAAUUUUGGUAUCAAUCAAUCUAGUAUAAAUUUGUCUAUCACAAAAAUGGCUUGAAGCAUUCAUUGUCAAUCAAUUGGCUCUGGAAUUGUGUUUUUGUCUUGAGUUAUAUUUCCCACUUACUAUGGAUAUUAAACAUCUCUGUAUACUAUUAUUAGCUAGUUGUAUUUUGCAUCUGAUCCCCACUCAGUCUUCUGAAGUCCACUUUUUAUUUGAGUGCUAAUCUGUUCAUUAUGCAUCUAAAUGAACUUUCUGAAUAUUAUUGAUUCUAGGCAUUUGCCCACCAGUCAUUUUACAGAUGCAUUCUUCCAGUUAGCAAUUUGUUGUUCUGUGUCCUUUAAUGUGAGUUGAUGACUAAAAAUAUCUUUCUUGUCAAAAUUUCUAUAAGUAGUAUACAGAAAAGAUCAAAAAUAAAAAUAUUAAAUAUCUCACAUGAAAUAUUUAUGUGUAGUUUACUUAGAAAAUGUGAGAACAUAUAUAUCUUUGUGUUUAAUUAGAAUACUACAUCAAUAUUUUAAAGCUACUAUACAAAUAUUAUAAACAUUAAGUACCUUUGUGCAUUUGUAUAGUUAAUGCUAUUCAGUACAUAUUCACUUUUGAAACCAGUAAAAAGAGGACUGAAAUAGCAGAAAAUUAAAAAAUUCUAAUAAGAAGGGGGAAAAUUCUUUCUAUACUGAAGUAAGGUGAUAUUAACAUAAGUACUUAGCAUAUAUUUAGAAUAUUUAUUACCAUAUAUAGUGGGGUCACAUGACAUAUUUUAAAAUCUAAAACAUGUAAAUUUUGUUAAUUUAUUAAAAUGCAUAGCUACAGAAAGAUUUUGAAUAUAACACAGUCAUUGCUAUUCAUUAGAAUUUACUAUCCCUGAAUC
Mus musculus (house mouse) is the source of this 3909-nucleotide long non-coding RNA. RefSeq annotates it as DNA segment, Chr 5, ERATO Doi 615, expressed. Lineage: Eukaryota; Metazoa; Chordata; Mammalia; Rodentia; Muridae. The record is from RefSeq and is marked validated. The transcript is spliced from 6 exons.